RNAcentral lists this ribosomal RNA (443 nucleotides) under uncultured bacterium. RNAcentral describes it as "partial 16S ribosomal RNA". It matches the Rfam family "Bacterial small subunit ribosomal RNA", at positions 338 to 795 of the family's 1533-position model. The record is from RNAcentral.
CCUACGCGUGGCAGCAGUGGGGAAUAUUGGGCAAUGGGCGCAAGUCUGACCCAGCAACGCCGCGUGAAGGAAGAAGGCCCUCGGGUUGUAAACUUCUUUUGUCAGGGACGAAGAAAGUGACGGUACCUGACGAAUAAGCCACGGCUAACUACGUACCAGCAGCCGCGGUAAUGCGUAGUGGGCAAGCGGUAUCCGGAUUUAGUGGGUGGAAAGGGCGGGUAGGCGGGACUGCAAGUCAGAUGGUAAAUUCCAGGGCGCAACCCUGGAACUGGAUUUGCAACUGUCGUUCUUGAGUGAUGGAGAGGCAGGCGGAAUUCCGUGUGUAGCGGUGAAAUGCGUAGAUAUACGGAGGAACACCAGUGGCGAAGGCGGCCUGCUGGACAUUAACUGACGCUGAGGCGCGAAAGCGUGGGGAGCAAACAGGAUUAGAUACCCUUGUAGUC